RNAcentral lists this ribosomal RNA (253 nucleotides) under uncultured bacterium. RNAcentral describes it as "partial 16S ribosomal RNA". It matches the Rfam family "Bacterial small subunit ribosomal RNA", at positions 524 to 776 of the family's 1533-position model. The record is from RNAcentral.
UACGAAGGGUGCAAGCGUUAGUCGGAAUUACUGGGCGUAAAGCGUGCGUAGGCGGUUUCUUAAGUCCGUUGUGAAAGCCCCGGGCUCAACCUGGGAAUGGCAGUGGAUACUGAGAGGCUAGAGUGUGUCAGAGGAUGGUGGAAUUCCCGGUGUAGCGGUGAAAUGCGUAGAGAUCGGGAGGAACAUCAGUGGCGAAGGCGGCCAUCUGGGACAACACUGACGCUGAGGCACGAAAGCGUGGGGAGCAAACAGG